RNAcentral lists this ribosomal RNA (434 nucleotides) under uncultured bacterium. Its description in RNAcentral is "partial 16S ribosomal RNA". It matches the Rfam family "Bacterial small subunit ribosomal RNA", at positions 29 to 507 of the family's 1533-position model. The record is from RNAcentral.
AGCGAACGCUGGCGGCAGGCCUAACACAUGCAAGUCGAACGAACCUUUCGGGGUUAGUGGCGGACGGGUGAGUAACACGUGGGAACGUGCCUUUAGGUUCGGAAUAACUCAGGGAAACUUGUGCUAAUACCGAAUGUGCCCUUCGGGGGAAAGAUUUAUCGCCUUUAGAGCGGCCCGCGUCUGAUUAGCUAGUUGGUUGAGGUAAUGGCUCACCAAGGCGACGAUCAGUAGCUGGUCUGAGAGGAUGAUCAGCCACAUUGGGACUGAGACACGGCCCAAACUCCUACCGGAGGCAGCAAUGGGGAAUCUUGCGCAAUGGGCGAAAGGCUGACGCAGCCAUGGCGCGUGAAUGAUGAAGGUCUUAGGAUUGUAAAAUUCUUUCAACGGGGACGAUAAUGACGGUACCCGGAGAAGAAGCCCCGGCUAACUUCGUG